UUGAACGCUGGCGGCAGGCCUAACACCUGCAAGUCGCGCGGAUGAAGGGAGCUUGCUCCUGGAUUCAGCGGCGGACGGGUGAGUAAUGCCUAGGAAUCUGCCUGGUAGUGGGGGAUAACGUCCGGAAACGGGCGCUAAUACCGCAUACGUCCUGAGGGAGAAAGUGGGGGAUCUUCGGACCUCACGCUAUCAGAUGAGCCUAGGUCGGAUUAGCUAGUUGGUGGGGUAAAGGCCUACCAAGGCGACGAUCCGUAACUGGUCUGAGAGGAUGAUCAGUCACACUGGAACUGAGACACGGUCCAGACGCCUACGGGAGGCAGCAGUGGGGAAUAUUGGACAAUGGGCGAAAGCCUGAUCCAGCCAUGCCGCGUGUGUGAAGAAGGUCUUCGGAUUGUAAAGCACUUUAAGUUGGGAGGAAGGGCAGUAAGUUAAUACCUUGCUGUUUUGACGUUACCAACAGAAUAAGCACCGGCUAACUUCGU
Molecule: ribosomal RNA, 482 nt
Filed under: uncultured bacterium
Lineage: Bacteria
Description: partial 16S ribosomal RNA
Rfam family: Bacterial small subunit ribosomal RNA
Source: RNAcentral